UGGGGAAUAUUGCACAAUGGGGGAAACCCUGAUGCAGCCAUGCCGCGUGUGUGAAGAAGGCCUUCGGGUUGUAAAGCACUUUCAGUAGGGAGGAAAGGUAGCAGCUUAAUACGCUGUUGCUGUGACGUUACCUACAGAAGAAGGACCGGCUAACUCCGUGCCAGCAGCCGCGGUAAUACGGAGGGUCCGAGCGUUAAUCGGAAUUACUGGGCGUAAAGCGUGCGCAGGCGGUUUGUUAAGCGAGAUGUGAAAGCCCCGGGCUCAACCUGGGAAUUGCAUUUCGAACUGGCGAACUAGAGUCUUGUAGAGGGGGGUAGAAUUCCAGGUAUAGCGGUGAAAUGCGUAGAGAUCUGGAGGAAUACCGGUGGCGAAGGCGGCCCCCUGGACAAAGACUGACGCUCAGGCACGAAAGCGUGGGGAGCAAACAGGAUUAGAUACCCUGGUAGUCCACGCCGUAAACGAUGUCUACUCGGAGUUUGGUGUCUUGAACACUGGGCUCUCAAGCUAACGCAUUAAGUAGACCGCCUGGGGAGUACGGCCGCAAGGUUA
This 549-nucleotide ribosomal RNA is filed under the name uncultured bacterium. RNAcentral's name for it is "bacterial SSU rRNA". It matches the Rfam family "Bacterial small subunit ribosomal RNA", at positions 355 to 896 of the family's 1533-position model. The record is from RNAcentral.